This is a non-coding RNA of Nothobranchius furzeri (turquoise killifish), 875 nucleotides long. The record is from RefSeq and is a predicted model, not a curated record. Lineage: Eukaryota; Metazoa; Chordata; Actinopteri; Cyprinodontiformes; Nothobranchiidae.
AGCUACGACACACUCACACAGAUAAGAUCUAAAAGAAGAGCCACAUAUUUCAACAAUAGAUCCUCCAGAGACCGGUAGAACCUCAGAACCAUCCUGGAUUACUACAAACACAAGCUAGCGAGCUACUGCAGCAUCCCAGUCAGGAGGAAUUAUUCUGCUGAUCUGUCGAUUAAGUUUGUUCUGGAGUUAUUUCAAUAUAAACACGCAGCGGUUCAACUGGCAGCACGUUCUUUUAUCUAUAGAUUAGUGAAUUAUAUUGGGACGGUAUGUGUCACGGUCUGGGGGUGUCAUCUUUCUCUGAUUUACUUUUUGAGCUUCCUUUCCUCUGCAGGUGGGCGUGUCCGGUUGUGGGGAAGUUGCUAGCAGCUGCAAGCAAUCCACUCAUCACCUGCCAGGGGAUAUUUAAGCACCUGAGAGGCGGCUUCACUUUGCUGGAUGAUUAACUCUACUUGGGUACUCAACUAACAGCCGAACAACUUGUAUCUCCUAGUGAUUUGACUUUUAUCUGGAUUUUGAGCUCUUCAUGAUUUUUGACCACUUGUCUUCCUACCUUUUCACCCAGACAUCCUGUUACAAUAACUACCUGGUCAACCUGCCAUUCGCCUCUCAGCGUCCUCCCAUGGUCUCCCCCACGCCGGCUCCCCACCUUCCUCCUGGAUCUCCUGCUCAGUAAUUGCUCAGCUCCCUCCUCGCCUGGACUCUCAGCUUCCUCUAACUCAGUAAGCCAUCUGCUUCACCCCCAGACCAGACAACCAACCUCUCCCGAACAUUCUAACUGAACCUUCAGACCACUCCCCCCACCGGAUCCCAGCAGUCCAGCCUGACAUUUUGUUCCUGCAAUUUCUCCUUUAUAAUAAAUCAUUAUUUAACUCUAA